GAGUCAUUAUAAAGUCGUCAUUCUCGGUUUGAGAGACAGGGCGGCGCCGUUGGCGAGAGCUGUGUGAAAAGCUUCAGCUGAUGAAGGGGAUAGAUGACAGAGAAGAAGAAAAAACAAGACAUCAGGCGAGAGGCUUUAAGCGGAGGAGUCGCCCAGGGUCCAACACAAACAGGCACUCUCUCAAGACGACAUGGGGCAGGCAGGUGAACCACCCACCCCCUACCUGAGCAAUCGGGUAAAGACCUCACAGCGUGCCAAAGGGAACACGACAGUGUUGAGUUUGCCAGGUUUGAAUCCUCUGACAUCCGUGUGAAAAGUGAACAAGCCCUCUCUUGACAUAAUGAUGCUGGACAGAAUCGACGAGCACGUUUCAGCAGUCAGGGACGUCUGGUUUGGCGGUCAUGUGACACCUGUCCCGACAAUUAAUCAUUUGGGACGAUUUAUGGAACGACAUGUGCAACUGACACAAGAGACAUGUGCAAGGCACUGAAGAAUCAUGCAUCUUCUGAGCCCGUGAGGACUGCCACAUUACACAAGCGGGCUGCCACCUGCAUAUCAUGCCUGCAUCGCAUUGGUUAUCCCCACUAACUACAGAAACACUCAUACAGUAGGGAUUACUGACAGUACUACCCAGUCCAUACAGCAUACAGAUCUGCAGUAACAGUUUGAAUUUUUAAUGUGCAUUUAGAAUUCUGCCUCAUUUCCCCAUCAUCUAAAAAAACAUAUAAAAUCUUAACAAAUGAAGACAGUUAUGUUUUCUAAGGCUUUAUUAUCUGUCUCCAGAGUGUCGGCCAA
This is a long non-coding RNA of Brienomyrus brachyistius, 795 nucleotides long. RefSeq lists it as uncharacterized. The record is from RefSeq and is a predicted model, not a curated record. The transcript has 4 exons. NCBI's taxonomy places the organism in Eukaryota, Metazoa, Chordata, Actinopteri, Osteoglossiformes, Mormyridae.